Acomys russatus (golden spiny mouse) is the source of this 72-nucleotide small nucleolar RNA. NCBI's taxonomy places the organism in Eukaryota, Metazoa, Chordata, Mammalia, Rodentia, Muridae. The record is from RefSeq and is a predicted model, not a curated record.
GGUGCAUGUGAUGACACCAUGUAGCGACCAAAGUCUGAUAACAGUGAUUGCUAUCCUAUUGUCUGAUGCACC